Balaenoptera acutorostrata (minke whale) is the source of this 756-nucleotide long non-coding RNA. RefSeq lists it as uncharacterized. Lineage: Eukaryota; Metazoa; Chordata; Mammalia; Artiodactyla; Balaenopteridae. The record is from RefSeq and is a predicted model, not a curated record. The transcript has 3 exons.
GGGGAAGGACUUCCCUGGUGGCACAGUGGUUAAGAAUCCGCCUGCCAAUGUAGGGGACACGGGAAGAUCCCACAUGCCGCGGAGCAACUAAGCCCGUGCGCCACAACUACUGAGCCUGCGCUCUAGAGCCCACGAGCCACAACUACUGAAGCCCACGAGCCACAACUACUGAAGUCCGCACGCCUAGAGCCCGUGCUCCGCAACAAGAGAAGCCACCGCAAUGAGAAGCCCGCGCACCGCAACAAAGACCCAAUGCAGCCAAAAAUAAAAAAUGAAUUAAAAAAAAAAGACACAAAAAAGUUGAACAUGAAAGGAUUGAAAAAAAAGAAGAUGGGGAAAGUGCAGGUGGUUGACCCUGGAGGACUUCAAGCAGAGCAUGAUUUUUGCUGCAUGGAGAAGGAAGUUUGGUUUGGAUUUACAAGUCUCAGGAGAAAGGUAAAUGCAUUUUCCUGGGCCUCUGUUGAAGCAGCCAGGUGCCACUUCCUGGAGCUGUUGCUGGUCCCUAACAUAGCCACAGAGAGCAUCAGGAUACAGGACACCGAAGGACCUCACUGUUCCAGAGGAUGCAGCAGAAAAUACGUCAAACCCAUGAAGAAGAGAAUAAUGAGAUAAUGCAUGCAGAGCACUGGCCAGAAGCCUUGCCUUAGAGGAAGCACUCACUGAGAAUUUGCCCUGUAUGUUUAUUGGUGAUUAUGACUAAUUCCUGUCAACGACGCAGGGCAGACCCAACACUGUAUACAAAUGGACACACCUACU